This 482-nucleotide ribosomal RNA is filed under the name uncultured bacterium. RNAcentral describes it as "bacterial SSU rRNA". It matches the Rfam family "Bacterial small subunit ribosomal RNA", at positions 30 to 507 of the family's 1533-position model. The record is from RNAcentral.
AUUGAACGCUGGCGGCAUGCCUUACACAUGCAAGUCGAACGGUAACAGGUCUUCGGAUGCUGACGAGUGGCGAACGGGUGAGUAAUAUAUCGGAACGUGCCCAGUCGUGGGGGAUAACGCAGCGAAAGCUGUGCUAAUACCGCAUACGAUCUAUGGAUGAAAGCGGGGGAUCGCAAGACCUUGCGCUGAUUGAGCGGCCGAUGUCAGAUUAGCUAGUUGGUGAGGUAAAGGCUCACCAAGGCGACGAUCUGUAGCUGGUCUGAGAGGACGACCAGCCACACUGGGACUGAGACACGGCCCAGACUCCUACGGGAGGCAGCAGUGGGGAAUUUUGGACAAUGGGGGAAACCCUGAUCCAGCCAUGCCGCGUGCAGGAUGAAGGCCUUCGGGUUGUAAACUGCUUUUGUACGGAACGAAAAGGUCCUUUCUAAUAAAGAGGGCUCAUGACGGUACCGUAAGAAUAAGCACCGGCUAACUACGUG